AUUAUCUGACGAGUCUCAAAUAGGAUGAAACGCGAGUCCUGGAU
Molecule: non-coding RNA, 44 nt
Filed under: Schistosoma haematobium
Lineage: Eukaryota; Metazoa; Platyhelminthes; Trematoda; Strigeidida; Schistosomatidae
Source: RNAcentral